Molecule: ribosomal RNA, 285 nt
Filed under: uncultured bacterium
Lineage: Bacteria
Description: partial 16S ribosomal RNA
Rfam family: Bacterial small subunit ribosomal RNA
Source: RNAcentral
UACGUAGGGUGCGAGCGUUAAUCGGAAUACUGGGCGUAAAGCGUGCGCAGGCGGUGAUGUAAGACCGAUGUGAAAUCCCCGGGCUUAACCUGGGAACUGCAUUUGGUGACUGCAUUGCUGGAGUAUGGCAGAGGGGGGUGGAAUUCCACGUGUAGCAGUGAAAUGCGUAGAGAUCAGCAGGAACACCCGUGGCGAAGGCGGCCCCCUGGGCCGAUAAAAAGUCCUGUCAAGGGAAACCUUGGCUGGUACCUGACGCUGAGCGCGAAGGCUAGGGGAGCGAACAGG